RNAcentral lists this ribosomal RNA (790 nucleotides) under uncultured Methanimicrococcus sp. Its description in RNAcentral is "bacterial SSU rRNA". It matches the Rfam family "Archaeal small subunit ribosomal RNA", at positions 85 to 876 of the family's 1478-position model. Lineage: Archaea; Methanobacteriati; Methanobacteriota; Methanomicrobia; Methanosarcinales; Methanosarcinaceae. The record is from RNAcentral.
ACUGCUCAGUAACACGUGGAUAACCUGCCCUCAGGUCCGGCAUAACCUCGGGAAACUGAGGAUAAUUCCGGAUAUCUCUUCUCUGUUGGAAUCACUUGAAGAGACAAAGAAUUUCGCCUGAGGAUGGGUCUGCGGCCUAUCAGGUUGUAGGGGGUGUAAUGUACCCUCUAGCCGACAACGGGUACGGGUUGUGAGAGCAAGAGCCCGGAGAUGGAUUCUGAGACAUGAAUCCAGGCCCUACGGGGCGCAGCAGGCGCGAAAACUUUACAAUGCAGGAAACUGUGAUAAGGAGACACCGAGUGCCCGCAUCAAAUGCGGGCUGUCCGCAUACUUAAAUCGUAUGCGUUAGCAAGGGCCGGGCAAGACCGGUGCCAGCCGCCGCGGUAAUACCGGUGGCCCGAGUGGUAGCCGCUUUUAUUGGGUCUAAAGGGUCCGUAGCCUGUUCGGUCAGUCCAUUGGGAAAUCCGGAUGCUCAACAUCCGGGCUUCCAGUGGAUACUGCCGAACUUGGGAUCGGGGGAGGUAAGAGGUACUACAGGGGUAGGAGUGAAAUCUUGUAAUCCUUGUGGGACCACCUGUGGCGAAGGCGUCUUACCAAAACGAGUCCGACGGUGAGGGACGAAAGCUGGGGGCACGAACCGGAUUAGAUACCCGGGUAGUCCCAGCCGUAAACGAUGCUCGCUAGGUGUCAGGCAUGGCGUGACUGUGUCUGGUGCCGAAGGGAAGCCGUGAAGCGAGCCACCUGGGAAGUACGGCCGCAAGGCUGAAACUUAAAGGAAUUGGCGGGGGAG